CAGGAGGAAGUUUGUCCUAUCAGAGCCCACAGUACUUGUUGCUGUCAAAGGGGCCAGUUGCAAACAGUCUUUCAGAAAAGCAAGAUUCCCAGAGAAGAAAUCAUGAGGUUUAUACCCUGGACUGAGCUCAAGUGCACAGCGGCACAUUAUGGAUGUUCCUGCUGACCUGCAGACAAAUAGGAGGGUUAAAGGAUCAAUUAAAUAAUCUUAACUCAUGAGCGGCAGGGAAAAUAUUUCAGCUGCAACACUGAUUGUCGUUCUGAAAGGUUCCCUGAUAGGAAUCUUUCAUUUAGCAAAACCAAACCUCUAAAGGCAAGAGGGGUUGAACUAUUGGAAUUACUGCUUGGCAAAUGCAGAAGAGUCAACCCUGCCACACUGUGACCCAGAGAAAGAUUUUUGGAAAAUAAGGAUCAUUCUCUUCAGUUGAAAUAAAACUGCUCUGCAAGGAAUCAAAUUGGCCUUCUGUCAGCAUGAUCGUCAUGAGUCAAGAGAAAGGUGAAUGUGCUCUGUCCACAAAUGAAGUUGGCCAAGCAAACUGGGGAAGGAUGGGGGUUGGAAAGAACCUCACCAGCUUCCCCAUUGAUCUGAAAAUCACGUCGAAGAUAUAUGGUGAGAGAGAGCACACAUCUCUAGUCUACAGACUGCUUUCGCUCACGGGCAGGAAGACGGAAAGAAUAUCAUGUCUCGUUAGUACAAUCCUUAGAAAUCAUGCCAAAAAUGUACACACAGUUGAAAUGGAGGGGAAUGAAUGACUCAGAAUUUCUCAUGAAGGAUGCAAAGCAGUUACCCUCUGGGGCAUUUCCUUGACUAAAGCUGAGGUCAGAAAAGACAAAUCAUAGUUACCAUGUGAAGGUAAAGCACUGACCACAGGGAGUGAAGUGCUUGAGACCUCAGAAUUUCUAUAGGACAGGUUUGAAGGUUACAAGGGUAACUGACAGUGCCUAUAAUAAAUACGAGAGAGAAGAUACAGAUUACAGGGAGAUUAUAGGAGAUUAAGAGUUGGAUGCAGGAGAAUUUUCAUAUAUUUUUAAAUCAACUUGAUUAAGUAUAAUUUAUAAACAAUAAAAUGCACACAUUUUAAAGGUACAGUUUGAAGAAUUUUGACAAAAGGGUAUGUGCAUGCUGCCACCACUAUCCAGAUAUAGGCAUUUCCAUCAUCCUCAAAGUUUCUCUUUUUGCCCCUUCCUAUUCCUGGGCUAAGGUAACCACUGAUGUGCCCUUUGUCACCAGAGAUUAAAUUGAACUUUACUGUGAGUUUCAUGUGCAUGGAAUCACGCAGUAUUUGUGUCAUGCAUUUGUGUCA
Molecule: long non-coding RNA, 1303 nt
Organism: Lagenorhynchus albirostris (white-beaked dolphin)
Lineage: Eukaryota; Metazoa; Chordata; Mammalia; Artiodactyla; Delphinidae
Exons: 3
Source: RefSeq, a predicted model, not a curated record